Molecule: ribosomal RNA, 464 nt
Filed under: uncultured bacterium
Lineage: Bacteria
Description: partial 16S ribosomal RNA
Rfam family: Bacterial small subunit ribosomal RNA
Source: RNAcentral
GACGAACGCUGGCGGCGUGCUUAACACAUGCAAGUCGAACGAUGAACCGGUUUCGGCCGGGGAUUAGUGGCGAACGGGUGAGUAACACGUGGGCAAUCUGCCCUGCACUCUGGGAUAAGCCCGGGAAACUGGGUCUAGUACCGGAUACGACACUCCGAGGCAUCUUGGGGUGUGGAAAGUUCCGGCGGUGCAGGAUGAGCCCGCGGCCUAUCAGCUUGUUGGUGGGGUAAUGGCCUACCAAGGCGACGACGGGUAGCCGGCCUGAGAGGGUGACCGGCCACACUGGGACUGAGACACGGCCCAGACUCCUACGGGAGGCAGCAGUGGGGAAUAUUGCACAAUGGGCGAAAGCCUGAUGCAGCGACGCCGCGUGAGGGAUGACGGCCUUCGGGUUGUAAACCUCUUUCAGCAGGGAAGAAGCGAAAGUGACGGUACCUGCAGAAGAAGCACCGGCUAACUACGUG